AGCGCGCCCCGACUUGAACGGAAAUCCUUUUUUGCGUAAUCUUAAGUUUUAUUUAGAUGGAAAUCGUCUGCAAAAAAGAUUGGGAGUGGAAGGCGGAAAAAGGC
This is a small RNA of Epilithonimonas sp., 104 nucleotides long. It matches the Rfam family "Flavo-1 RNA". The record is from Rfam. Lineage: Bacteria; Pseudomonadati; Bacteroidota; Flavobacteriia; Flavobacteriales; Weeksellaceae.